GACGAACGCUGGCGGCGUGCUUAACACAUGCAAGUCGAACGGAAAGGCCCUGCUUUUGUGGGGUGCUCGAGUGGCGAACGGGUGAGUAACACGUGAGUAACCUGCCCUUGACUUUGGGAUAACUUCAGGAAACUGGGGCUAAUACCGGAUAGGAGCUCCUGCUGCAUGGUGGGGGUUGGAAAGUUUCGGCGGUUGGGGAUGGACUCGCGGCUUAUCAGCUUGUUGGUGGGGUAGUGGCUUACCAAGGCUUUGACGGGUAGCCGGCCUGAGAGGGUAACCGGCCACAUUGGGACUGAGAUACGGCGCAGACUCCUACGGGAGGCAGCAGUGGGGAAUAUUGCACAAUGGGCGGAAGCCUGAUGCAGCAACGCCGCGUGCGGGAUGACGGCCUUCGGGUUGUAAACCGCUUUCGCCUGUGACGAAGCGUGAGUGACGGUAAUGGGUAAAGAAGCACCGGCUAACUACGUG
This 468-nucleotide ribosomal RNA is filed under the name uncultured bacterium. RNAcentral describes it as "partial 16S ribosomal RNA". It matches the Rfam family "Bacterial small subunit ribosomal RNA", at positions 28 to 507 of the family's 1533-position model. The record is from RNAcentral.